UAUUGGACAAUGGGGGAAACCCUGAUCCAGCCAUGCCGCGUGUGUGAAGAAGGCCUUAGGGUUGUAAAGCACUUUCAGUGGGGAGAAAGGCUUGUUGAUUAAUACUCGACGAGAUUGAUGUUACCCACAGAAGAAGCACCGGCUAACUCCGUGCCAGCAGCCGCGGUAAUACGGAGGGUGCAAGCGUUAAUCGGAAUUACUGGGCGUAAAGCGCACGUAGGCGGUGAGUUUAGCCAGCUGUGAAAUCCCCGGGCUCAACCUGGGAAUUGCAGUUGGAACUGGCUCGCUAGAGUAUGGUAGAGGGGUGUGGAAUUUCAGGUGUAGCGGUGAAAUGCGUAGAUAUCUGAAGGAACAUCAGUGGCGAAGGCGACACCCUGGAUCAAUACUGACGCUGAGGUGCGAAAGCGUGGGGAGCAAACAGG
RNAcentral lists this ribosomal RNA (422 nucleotides) under uncultured bacterium. Its description in RNAcentral is "bacterial SSU rRNA". It matches the Rfam family "Bacterial small subunit ribosomal RNA", at positions 362 to 776 of the family's 1533-position model. The record is from RNAcentral.